Long non-coding RNA from Ictalurus punctatus (channel catfish), 460 nucleotides. Lineage: Eukaryota; Metazoa; Chordata; Actinopteri; Siluriformes; Ictaluridae. The record is from Ensembl.
GCAGGAGUAGUGAGAAGCACUGACACAGUUGACAAGGGCGGAUGUGCUCGACUGCACCUGGCGCAUACUGAAGAGGGUGAUUGCUAACUCCCUGGCAAAGAACCUCAAUUGGAGGGGAGUCGAUGGAAAGACUUCACUGGCCACUCUCAAACUUGGAGAGGUCAUGAUUGAAACCUCUUCACGGCUAAAGCUGCAGAGAUGGAGGUUGAGGGGACCAUGAAGAGGUGGCUCCAGCUGGCAUCAGAUCGAGAGUGCGGGUGCAAGAGAAGACUUUUGAAAACUUUUGCAAAAAGAAGGUAUUUAGAGUGUUUUAACUGUGGACUCUUUGUUAAUUUGUUAAAAUGUUCAUAUUAUAGUCUAUUUUUGAUUGUUUAUAAAAGUCCUUGCUGUUUUUAAAUGGUUGAAUUUGUGUGUGUGUGUGUGUGUGUUGGUAGCUGGGUGGCUAUACAGUUGCGGUCGG